CCCUUAGAUGUCCUGGGCUGCACGCGCGCUACACUGAGUGUCUGAGAUACGAGUCUGCCUGGUCCGGCAAGGUCUAGGUAAUCGCUAAAAGACACAUCAUGCUUGGGAUAGAUUAUUGCAAAUAUUAAUCUUGAACGAGGAAUUCCUAGUAAGCGCAAGUCAACAGCUUGCGUUGAUUACGUCCCUGCCCUUUGUACACACCGCCCGUCGCUACUACUGAUUGGAUGUUUAAGCGAGGUUCUCGAACUGCUAGCGACUUAGCUUCGGUGAGGUCGCAGUGUGGGAAGUGAACCUAGCUUUGGUGUCUAGAGGAAGUAAAAGUCGUAAC
This 328-nucleotide ribosomal RNA is filed under the name uncultured eukaryote. RNAcentral describes it as "partial 18S ribosomal RNA". It matches the Rfam family "Eukaryotic small subunit ribosomal RNA", at positions 1470 to 1795 of the family's 1831-position model. The record is from RNAcentral.